CAUGAAGCUGGAUUCGCUAGUAAUCGCGCAUCAGCCACGGCGCGGUGAAUACGUUCCCGGGCCUUGUACACACCGCCCGUCAAGCCAUGGAAGCCGGGAGUGCCUGAAGUGCGUGAGCGCAAGCAGCGCCCUAAAGGUAAAACCGGUGACUGGGGCUAAGUCGUAACAAGGUACC
RNAcentral lists this ribosomal RNA (175 nucleotides) under uncultured bacterium. RNAcentral's name for it is "partial 16S ribosomal RNA". It matches the Rfam family "Bacterial small subunit ribosomal RNA", at positions 1319 to 1500 of the family's 1533-position model. The record is from RNAcentral.